RNA transcript from Brachypodium distachyon (stiff brome), 2895 nucleotides. It is a transcript of the gene named putative disease resistance RPP13-like protein 3, with no coding region annotated. Lineage: Eukaryota; Viridiplantae; Streptophyta; Magnoliopsida; Poales; Poaceae. The record is from RefSeq and is a predicted model, not a curated record. The transcript is spliced from 3 exons.
CAUUUUUGCUGAGCCAUUCAUCCUGCACUAGCUACUUACUGCAUACAAAACGCAAAAGCAAGCUGCUCUGUCCACUGACCUUGAUUAGCGGCCAUGGAGGAGUUUCUGGUGAGCGCGGCGACGGGGGCCUUGGGACCCGUUCUGGGGAAGCUGGCGACCCUGGCCGGCGACGAGUACAAGCGCCUCAAGGGGAUCCGCGGCGAGAUCGAGUCGCUCUCCCGCGAGCUCGACGCCAUGGACGCCUUCCUGGAGAAGAUGUCGGAAGAGGAGCCUGAGGACCCGCAGGACAAGGCCUGGAUGAAGGAGGUGCGGGAGCUCUCCUACGACACCGAGGACAGCAUCGACGACUUCAUGGCUCGCGUCGCCGCCGGUGACGAUGGAUCUGACCACGGUAUCAUGGGCAAGAUCAAGGGCUUGGUGGGCCGGACCAAGGAUCGACACCGAAUCGCCAAGGCCAUCGAGGAUCUGAAGAGGCAGGCCGUGUUGGUGAGCCAGAGGAAUGCCAGGUACAGAUCCGGCGAAACAUCCGCUUCCGUCUCCAACAAGUCCAAGAUUGACCGCAGAGCUCUUGCCAUUUUCGAGGAUGCGUCCAAGCUGGUCGGUAUUGAUGGCCCCAAGGAUGAAGUGAUCCAGCUGUUGGCCGACAACGGCGAGCCAACGCAGCAGCAGAAACCGAUCAAGCUGGUCGCCGUCGUUGGGUCCGGAGGAUUGGGGAAGACGACUCUGGCAAACCGAGUGUAUCAAGAGCUCAAAGGGGGGUUCGAUUGCCAUGCUUUCCUGUCCGUAUCAUAGAAUCCAGACAUCGUCAGAGUUAUGAGUAAUAUUUUCAGUCAGUUGAACAAGGGAUACUCUUCUCCUGCCAAGGAAGACUUGCCGCAACUUAUCACCAAGAUUCGGGAUUUCCUCACCGACAAAAGAUACUUUAUUGUAAUUGAUGAUAUAUGGAAGGUGGAAACAUGGGAUGUCAUUAAGUGUGCAUUUCCCACAACCGGUUCUGGCAGUAUAAUAAUCACCACCACUCGUAUAAAUGUUGUCGCUCAGUCAUGCCGAUCAUCAUUCAUUGGCCAUAUAUAUAAUAUGAGGCCUCUUAAUAUGGUGCACUCGAGGCAACUAUUCUAUGGAAGACUAUUCGACUCUGAAGAAAAAUGCCCUUUGGACCUUAAAGAAAUUUCCAGCCAAAUCUUGGAAAAAUGUGCUGGUUUACCAUUGGCGAUCAUUGCUAUCGCUGGUUUGUUGGCUGACAAGGCAAGUAAAAAGGAUAAAUGGGAGCAAGUGAAGGAUUCAAUUGGGCGUGCACUAAGAAAUGCUAGCGUCGAUGUAAUGGUAAACAUAAUAUCUCUUAGUUACCUGGAUCUUCCUCGUCAUCUUAAAACUUGUCUACUGUAUCUGAGUAUAUUUCCAGAAGAUCAUACUAUCAAUAAGGAGAAUUUGAUAAGGAGAUGGAUUGCAGAGGGAUUCAUUCAUAAGCAAGAGGGUUAUACACUGCAUGAGUCAGGAGAGAUGUGCUUUAACGAGCUCAUCAACAGGAGCUUGAUCCAGUCGGCAGAGCUAGACAAGACAUUCGGUCAUGAGGUGAAGAGCUGCCGAGUUCAUGACACAGUUCAUGAUUUCAUUGUAUCCAGGGCUGUUGAGGAGAACUUUGUUACUAUAAUAGGUGUGCCUGGUGUAAACCCCGACCCACGAAUCAAGGUUCGUCGGUUGUCUAUGCAGAACGAUGGUGAGAUUCCGGCGGGUCUGGUUAUAUCUAGUGCCCGGUCACUCCAUGUUUUUGGGCGUAAUGCGAAGAUCCCAUCUCUGUCGGAGUCCAGACUCUUGCGUGUUCUAGACUACGAAAACUGCUCGCAGUUGGAAGAUGAUCACCUUGCGGGUAUCGGCAAUUUGUUGCACCUCAAGUACCUGAGGUUCAAGAAUGCAGAUGCCCUGAGAAAGCUUCCGGAACAAGUAGCAAGGGCACCACACUUGGAGAUUGACAUACUCUAUCACAAAAAAAUAAUGGAAAUUCCUGCGACCAUCAGGCAGGUCAAAUGGUUGGCCUCUACUGACAUUAACUCUAAAGUACUGUAUGAAGCCACAGCCAUGCAAGGAUUACAAGUGCUGCGCGGUCUCAAUGUUUUUGCACAGUCAACUGAGUUUCUCGUAGGGCUUGGCCAGCUGAAAAAGCUAAGGGUGCUGGACACAAUAUUCUGGACGUUCCACAUGAUGGAAAAAAUUGAAGAAGCGGAUUCGUUACUUGGGGAUGUGAAAUUUGCAAAGAUAGUCUCUUCCAUAGCUGAACUAAGCAAAGCUGGCCUCGAGUCUUUGGUCAUUCAAGCCCUCCUGACGGUAGGCAGGAUCUUUGAGUGUGAGUACUGGUUCCCGGAAUCUGAUACUCCGUACAGCCUUCGGGAACUUGUCAUUGCUUCGGUACUAGUCCGGGUUCCAACAUGGAUGGCCCGACUCGUCAACCUUGAGAAACUGCGCAUCGGAAUUGAUCGUAUUGGGGAGGAAGACUUGGAGAUCCUGGGAGGCCUGCCCUUCCUGCGCCAUCUCUGGAUUCAAGCGUGGUGGCAUAAAUCCGUAAAGACGAGGCACCUGAGUUUGAGGCUGCCAUCAAGAGAGCGAUGGAGGCCCAUCCCAACCGUCCCACCUUUAUUAUUUCCUACUCCAUAAGUUCCAAAAUAUUUUUUUUCUAGUGUCUGACCACUCAUAUUGGAUUAUUAGUAAAUGGAUGUGACUAGUUAUUGGCCGGUGCGGGUUUCAAGAGAAAAAUGAGAUGUGUUUUGAAACAAAUGAGAAAAAUCUAUAUGAGUUGUGUUUUGAAAUGGAAGUAGUACUAAUAGGUGGCAUUAAUUACAUUUGCACUUACGUUUAUCCAAAUGUAAAAUAAAGCGUUGCAUCAAUGCUGAAUUUUUGGCA